Molecule: ribosomal RNA, 456 nt
Filed under: Salmonella enterica subsp. enterica serovar Bareilly
Lineage: Bacteria; Pseudomonadati; Pseudomonadota; Gammaproteobacteria; Enterobacterales; Enterobacteriaceae
Description: partial 23S ribosomal RNA
Rfam family: Bacterial large subunit ribosomal RNA
Source: RNAcentral
AAUCCAUAGGUUAAUGAGGCGAACCGGGGGAACUGAAACAUCUAAGUACCCCGAGGAAAAGAAAUCAACCGAGAUUCCCCCAGUAGCGGCGAGCGAACGGGGAGGAGCCCAGAGCCUGAAUCAGCAUGUGUGUUAGUGGAAGCGUCUGGAAAGGCGCGCGAUACAGGGUGACAGCCCCGUACACAAAAGCGCAUGUGCUGUGAGCUCGAUGAGUAGGGCGGGACACGUGGUAUCCUGUCUGAAUAUGGGGGGACCAUCCUCCAAGGCUAAAUACUCCUGACUGACCGAUAGUGAACCAGUACCGUGAGGGAAAGGCGAAAAGAACCCCGGCGAGGGGAGUGAAAAAGAACCUGAAACCGUGUACGUACAAGCAGUGGGAGCACCCUUUUGGGUGUGACUGCGUACCUUUUGUAUAAUGGGUCAGCGACUUAUAUUCUGUAGCAAGGUUAACCGAAU